This 490-nucleotide ribosomal RNA is filed under the name uncultured bacterium. RNAcentral describes it as "partial 16S ribosomal RNA". It matches the Rfam family "Bacterial small subunit ribosomal RNA", at positions 29 to 507 of the family's 1533-position model. The record is from RNAcentral.
AGUGAACGCUCGGGGUAGGUCUAACCUAUGCCAAUCGAACGCAACCCCCCGAACGCCUGCUCUCUGGGUGGCGUUAGACGGCCGUGUGAGAAAUACACCGGAAUCUGUGCAUUUGGUGGGGCUACCGCGGGGUAAAUUACGCUCAUACCGCUUACGUCCUUUGGCAGCAACCGGGGGCUUGUAACACCUCCUGCGUGUGGAUGAGCCGAUGUCGGAUUAGCUAGUUGGCGGGGUAAUGGCCCACCAAGGCGACGAUCCGUAGCUGGUCUGAGAGGAUGAUCAGCCACACUGGAACUGAGACACGGUCCAGACUCCUACGGGAGGCAGCAGUGGGGAAUAAUGGACAAUGGGCGCAAGCCUUAUCCAGCCAUACCGCGUGAGUGAAGAAGGCCGUCGGGUUGGAAAGCCCUUUUGUUAGGAAAGAAAUCUUUCAGGCUAAUACCCUGGGAGGAUGACGGUACCCAAAGAAUAAGCACCGGCUAGCUUCGUG